This 203-nucleotide microRNA precursor is filed under the name Oryza nivara. RNAcentral's name for it is "MIR812 microRNA precursor family". It matches the Rfam family "MIR812 microRNA precursor family". Lineage: Eukaryota; Viridiplantae; Streptophyta; Magnoliopsida; Poales; Poaceae. The record is from Rfam by way of RNAcentral.
AAUAAAUACAGUUUUGCACUGUUUAUGUCUAACGUUUGGCCAUUCGUCAUAUUUAAAAAUUUAUUAUGAUUACUAUUUUUAUUGUUAUUAGGUGAUAAAAUAUGAAUAAUACUUUAUGUGUGACUAAUUUUUUUUAAUUUUUUUUAUAAUAUUUUCAAAUAUAAGAUAAACGGUUGAUACGGAUACCGACGGCUGCACUUAUU